This 30-nucleotide non-coding RNA is filed under the name Mus musculus (house mouse). The record is from RNAcentral. Lineage: Eukaryota; Metazoa; Chordata; Mammalia; Rodentia; Muridae.
UAAGUAAGUUAUUGUUCAAUCAAACUGAAG